This is a long non-coding RNA of Ornithodoros turicata, 463 nucleotides long. RefSeq lists it as uncharacterized. Lineage: Eukaryota; Metazoa; Arthropoda; Arachnida; Ixodida; Argasidae. The record is from RefSeq and is a predicted model, not a curated record. The transcript is spliced from 3 exons.
UGCAAGAGAUGGAUCGUCUAACCGAACUUAUCUAAAGCUAUUGUAACUCUAUAGGUCGGUUUUCGUCGUCGGCUGAAACUACGUCGUAUUUAAUCCAGGCAGUCGUACUGGCGAAACGGUGGUCCAGAAGGAGACACCAUGAAGCCAUCUAUCGUUUUAUUUGUAGCCAUCAUUGUCAUGGCCUCCGGUAUCAAUUUCACAAUUGGGUGCUGCCACGACAGCGGAUGCACCUCCUAUCUUCAUGGCCAAGGUAUGAUAACGUGCCUUGAAGACGACUGCGUGCCAGUCACAAAAGACGGGACAACCUGCUGCAAGCAGAAAUAAUGUGGACAAGGCCGUCGAAGCAAAUUCUUCACCUCAAGGCCAAUAUUGUUUCAGUGAACGCUUCUCCAAUGCCUCCUCAUAGGAUAUAGCCGAAUGUCAAAAACCCCGCAUAUCCUAAUAAAUAUUAAACACAGACUGA